This 21-nucleotide microRNA is filed under the name Apis mellifera (honey bee). RNAcentral's name for it is "ame-miR-318-3p". Its record names the gene ame-miR-318-3p. Lineage: Eukaryota; Metazoa; Arthropoda; Insecta; Hymenoptera; Apidae. The record is from miRBase by way of RNAcentral.
UCACUGGGUUAUGUUUGUCCC